GACGAACGCUGGCGGCGUGCCUAAUACAUGCAAGUCGAGCGAAGUUUUUCUGGUGCUUGCACUAGAAAAACUUAGCGGCGAACGGGUGAGUAACACGUAAAGAACCUGCCUCAUAGACGGGGACAACUAUUGGAAACGAUAGCUAAUACCGGAUAACAGCAUAAAUCGCAUGAUAUAUGUUUAAAAGUUGGUUUCGGCUAACACUAUGAGAUGGCUUUGCGGUGCAUUAGCUAGUUGGUGGGGUAAAGGCCUACCAAGGCGACGAUGCAUAGCCGACCUGAGAGGGUGAUCGGCCACACUGGGACUGAGACACGGCCCAGACUCCUACGGGAGGCAGCAGUAGGGAAUCUUCCGCAAUGGGCGAAAGCCUGACGGAGCAACGCCGCGUGAGUGAAGAAGGAUUUCGGUUCGUAAAGCUCUGUUGUUAGGGAAGAAUGAUUGUAUAGUAACUAUAUACAGUAGAGACGGUACCUAACCAGAAAGCCACGGCUAACUACGUGC
This 501-nucleotide ribosomal RNA is filed under the name uncultured Gemella sp. RNAcentral's name for it is "bacterial SSU rRNA". It matches the Rfam family "Bacterial small subunit ribosomal RNA", at positions 28 to 508 of the family's 1533-position model. The record is from RNAcentral. Lineage: Bacteria; Bacillati; Bacillota; Bacilli; Caryophanales; Gemellaceae.